This 301-nucleotide ribosomal RNA is filed under the name uncultured bacterium. Its description in RNAcentral is "partial 16S ribosomal RNA". It matches the Rfam family "Bacterial small subunit ribosomal RNA", at positions 509 to 807 of the family's 1533-position model. The record is from RNAcentral.
CAGUAGCCACGGGAAUACGGAGGGUGCGAGCGUUAAUCGGAAUUACUGGGCGUAAAGCGUACGCAGGCGGUUUGUUAAGUCAGAUGUGAAAUCCCCGAGCUUAACUCAGGAACUGCAUUUGAGACUGGCAGGCUAGAGUCUCGUAGAGGGGGGUAGAAUUCCAGGUGUAGCGGUGAAAUGCGUAGAGAUCUGGAGGAAUACCAGUGGCGAAGGCGGCCUCCUGGACAAAGACUGACGCUCAGGUGCGAAAGCGUGGGGAGCAAACAGGAUUAGAUACCCCAGUAGUCCCUGUCUCUUAUAC